UUUUCACAACACUCUCUGCUCCGCUGUGCUGGGGUCGCUUGCACGUGGGUUAGUUGGUAGCAACACAGAGUGGCCUGAUGGUUCCACGUUUCUGGAUUGGGGAGGGGUAGUUUGAGCGCAGAAAACUGGGACAUCUUCACAAAUUCAGGGGAUAUCUGUGGCUUGGGCAUCUUGGCCUGUGUCUAAAGUACCCACACAAGCAGGAGAUGCUGUCACACCUCCCCACACAUUCGCUGAGGCCGCACCGCACACAGGGCUGUGACAGAGCCAGGCUGGUGGGAGUUGCAGGCACAGGUCUGGGGCAUAAGGCUCCCUUUGUGCUGUUUAUUCUCAGUUCACAGGGUUCUGCGAUUGGACGACGGCUCUGAAAGUCUCCCCACCUGAGACUCUCCCAUGACGGCGCUGUGGGCCUGAGUCACGGCGGGCGCGGAGGCGGAGGAGUGAUGGGCAGAGCUGGGCUUCUCUGGGUGCGGGCACCUCCCCACCUCCCUGCAGGAGAGCAUGCAGAGGGCGGGAGGCCCCUGCACACUGGCCGCCUCUCAGAGCCUCAAGGAGGCUUAAAACUAAAAGGCAAAGCCUGGACAUAAACUUUGUUUGGGAGUUUCCAUCGUGGCUCAGCAGGUAUGAACCCAACUAGUAUCCAUGAGGAUGUGGGUUCGAUUCCUGGCCUCACUCAGUGGGUUAAGGAUCCGGCAUUGCUGUAGCUGUGGUGUAGGUCACAGAUGCGCCUUGGACCUGACGAUGCCGUGGCUGUGGCGUAGGCCAGCAGCUGUAGCUCCGAUUAGACCCCUAGCCUGGGAACCUCCACAUGCCAGGGAUGUAGCCUUGGAAAGCAAAAAAAAAAAAACCAACCAAAGCAAACCAACCAACAAAAACACUUUGCUAGGAAGAGGAUGCCAAGGAGGCCUGUCCUGGUUCCUGGCUUCUCAGAGCUGGCAAAACCAAAACCUGUGAGUUUAUUACAAGCACAGAAUCCCUGGUCCUGCCCGGUUGCCCAGAUCCACAGAAUCUGAAUCUGCAUUUCAGCAGAUCUCCAGGUGGGUCAUAUGCACCUAGCCGCUUCAGUGUUUCAGUCCAGAUCUGGGAAGACGGCACAGCCAAGGAUGGGGAUGGGGAUAUGGAAGGGGAGGGAGCUCACAACCACGCCAUGAAGCGGCCAAUGGAAAGGACUGAAUCGGGGCAUCCCGGGCCGCCAGCGCAUCUCUGCUUUUUCUGGAACCAUCUGCCUCCGUAACUCUAACAACAGCCAGCACUUCAACAGUGCCAGACGCACUUCCAGCGGCUGUGUGAAUUUACUGGAUGCUCACGACAGCCGUACGUGGUGACGACAAUUCUCUCCACUCCGCAGAUGCUGAGGGGAUGUGACUCCCCCGGGUCCACACAGCCCGCCAGCCCCAGACGAGGAUUCAGUCGACACUGGAGGCUUCGGCAUCGUGUUCUUAGGCUGCCUAGGAGCUUAAGCUGUUUGUAUCUGCUUUUUGUUCUCUGUGAGCAUUUUAAUAUUAACAUCCUAACUCCUGGCCCAGGAAAGGGGAGGGGACAGGGGUGUCCUGGCCCGUCGCCUCCCCUCCAGCCUCUUGCCCUCCCGUGUUUCACUGUCACGUGCAAGCUGGACGGCCAGGGACCGAGUCCCGCCUCCAGCGUGUUUGGCUUCGUCGGAAGGGUUUUAAAAACCAGAUGUUUGCACACAAAAGUUGUCCUGCUCAUGUGCGCUGCCACCUGCUUGCCACAGUCCCCACCGCUCCCUGAUGUCCUACACUGGGCCACACUCUGUAUUCACACACUCCCUCCACCUCCACACAGCAUUUCCCUGCUGUGGUCUCCUCUGAACCAGACUCCUCCUCGUCCCCAGGUCCCCCUCCCAGCGCAGCGGGGCCUGGAGCAGAGGAGCCGCCAGCUCCACGCUUCCUGCUCCGGGCCUCCGUGGGUCAGAGCGAAAUGGCGAGCAGGCUGGGAAGCAGGGCCUCGGAGGAGGGGCCUGGACGGGGGACCGAAGCUAGAACCCCAGACGCACGGAGGAGGCGUUCGUAAAAAGGCUGUAAAUCGUGGCGACAAAGACAAGUCCUGACUUCAGAGCAGGCAGCUGGGAAAGCCCCUCUCCUCCUGGAAUCACACCCGAGCACGUUCCAUGGACACCUGCCAUGGUGUCUCAAGCAGCCGAUUUCUUAAUAAGCGAAUUCAUUUUCUGCUGCCGCAUAGUCUCUCUCCUUCACGCACCAUCUGCUCUUUUGCGCACAUACCCGCGGGUCCCUUCCGAGACAGUCGCAGGUUUUGAAGGGGGAAUAAAUGUGCUUAAAAACCCCCGCCACCAGGAAGGCUGUUCUGUUCCCAACCCUCGCUGGUGCCAGAAAAGACGCUCAUACCUACGCUCCACUUUCCCAAAACGUGAGCAUUUGUGACGCACGCACUCAAGGUUAAAAUCAACUUUUGGAGGCAAUAAAGUCAGGCUCUCUUAAGGACAGUUCGGUAAAGCUGGUCCCACUGUGAUUCUUGGUUGGACAGACCAAAGUCCCCUAUUCUCCACCUGUUAAUUGGAGUCUGGAAUACAGCUAUGGUAAUAAAAGGUUUCAUACUAUUGGCCAUGAGCAGCUAAGUUCCAAAAACAAAUCUCCAUUUAAAGCAAGUGCUUAUUAGAAAAGGGAGCCUCCUACGCUGUUGAUGGGAAUGUAAACUGGUGCAGCCACUGGAGAGAACAGUAGGGAGCGUCCUCGAAAAACUCAGAACUAUUACAUGGCUGAGCAAUUCCACUCCUGCGUAUACACCUGAAAAAAAACCCCACUGAUGUGAAAAGAUACCUGCACCCCAAUGUUCACCGUAGCAUUAUUUACAGUAGCCAAGACAUGGAGGCACUAUAAAUGCCCAUCAACAGACGGAUGCAUAAAGAAGAUGUGGUACAUAUACACAAUGGAAUAUUACUCAGCUGUAAAAAAGAAUGAAAUUUUGCCAUUUGCAGCAACGUGGAUGGACGUGGAGGCCAUUAUGCUGAGUGAAUUAAGUCAGACAGAGAAAGGCAAGUGAUAUGACACCACUUAGAUGUAGAAUCUAAAAUACAACAAAUCAGUGAUUAUAAAAAGAAGCAUACUUAUAAAUAUAGAGAACGAGCAGUUACCAGUGGGCAAGGGGAGGGGGGAGGGGCAAGAGAGGGGACAGGGAUUAAGAGAUAUAAACCAUUAUAUGUAAAAUAAACUAUAAGGAUAUAUUGUACGACCCAAGGAAUACAGCCAAUAUUUUACAACUAUAAAUAAAAUACAACCUUUUUCUAUUUAUUUAUUUUGUCUUUUUAGGGCCACACCUGCAGCAUAUUGGAAGUUCCCAGGACUCAAAACGGAGCUGCAGCUUCCAGCCUACGCCACAGCCACAGCUACGCGGAUUCGGAGCUGCAUCUGUGACCUACACCACAGCUCAUGGCAAUGCUGGAUCCUUAACACACUGAGCGAGGCCAGGGAUCGAACCUGCCUCCUCAUGGAUGCUAGUCAGAUUCGUUCCCACUGAGCCACAAUGGGAACCCCCAGAACAUAACCUUUAAAAUUGCUCAUCGCUAGAUAGUCCACCUGCAACUUAUAUAAUAUUGUAACUAUUCCAAUAAAAUAAUGCAAGAAAAUAAUUAUGGAAGUGACUAUUUUAGAUCACUUUGGAGAACUGUGUAAGCAUAUUAAACAUUCUUGCAGCUUUUCCUUCUCGGGAAAAUAUCCCAAGGGGACAAUCUAGAGUCAGGUUAUCAUUUCUGGAAGGAAGAGAAAUGGAAGGUGAGAACUCUAUUGAGCCUGAAACACGAAAUUCUCUCAUUUCUGUCUCUCUUUCCUCUUCUGUAAUUCUCUCUUACUUCUCUGCUUCUCUCUCAAACACAGCCUGCUGACUCAGAUUUAAACCU
This 3871-nucleotide long non-coding RNA is filed under the name Sus scrofa (pig). RNAcentral describes it as "lncRNA (ENSSSCG00040013815.1)". The record is from RNAcentral. Lineage: Eukaryota; Metazoa; Chordata; Mammalia; Artiodactyla; Suidae.